This 460-nucleotide ribosomal RNA is filed under the name uncultured bacterium. Its description in RNAcentral is "partial 16S ribosomal RNA". It matches the Rfam family "Bacterial small subunit ribosomal RNA", at positions 338 to 795 of the family's 1533-position model. The record is from RNAcentral.
CCUACGGGAGGCAGCAGUGAGGAAUAUUGGUCAAUGGACGAGAGUCUGAACCAGCCAAGUAGCGUGAAGGAUGACUGCCCUAUGGGUUGUAAACUUCUUUUAUAUGGGAAUAAAACGUUCCACGUGUGGGAUUUUGUAUGUACCAUAUGAAUAAGGAUCGGCUAACUCCGUGCCAGCAGCUGCGGUAAUACGGAGGAUCCGAGCGUUAUCCGGAUUUAUUGGGUUUAAAGGGAGCGUAGGUGGAUUGUUAAGUCAGUUGUGAAAGUUUGCGGCUCAACCGUAAAAUUGCAGUUGAAACUGGCAGUCUUGAGUACAGUAGAGGUGGGCGGAAUUCGUGGUGUAGCGGUGAAAUGCUUAGAUAUCACGAAGAACUCCGAUUGCGAAGGCAGUUCACUGGACUGCAACUGACACUGAGGCUCGAAAGUGUGGGUAUCAAACAGGAUUAGAUACCCUUGUAGUC